CCUAACUAAUAAUCUUAUAUAAAUUAUUGGUUGUACUCCAACGAUAUCAUCAUCAUUCGAUGUAAUCAUAUGUCUAUCAGCGACAACAUUUUGAUGUAUAAUAAUUUACAUAAAACUAUACUACUAUAGUUUGAUUUGGUAACAUUGUAAAAACCAAAUAGAUAUUAUUUCUAGAAACCGUGGUGUAUAGAUAUGGUUUCAUUAUAUACAUCGAU
RNAcentral lists this long non-coding RNA (215 nucleotides) under Brassica napus (rape). RNAcentral's name for it is "long non-coding RNA (BNAP_LNC016999)". Lineage: Eukaryota; Viridiplantae; Streptophyta; Magnoliopsida; Brassicales; Brassicaceae. The record is from RNAcentral.